UGGAUCUGUGAUGACACCUGGUGGCUCUGUGAUGUCACCUGAUGGUCACUCUCUGGUACUGUGAGGUCAGC
Non-coding RNA from Cricetulus griseus (Chinese hamster), 71 nucleotides. The record is from Rfam. NCBI's taxonomy places the organism in Eukaryota, Metazoa, Chordata, Mammalia, Rodentia, Cricetidae.